AACGAACGCUGGCGGCAUGCCUAACACAUGCAAGUCGAACGAGACCUUCGGGUCUAGUGGCGCACGGGUGCGUAACGCGUGGGAACCUGCCCUUAGGUUCGGAAUAACUCCCGAAAGGGGUGCUAAUACCGGAUAAAGUCUUCGGACCAAAGAUUUAUCGCCUUUGGAUGGGCCCGCGUUGGAUUAGCUAGUUGGUAGGGUAAAAGCCUACCAAGGCGACGAUCCAUAGCUGGUCUGAGAGGAUGAUCCGCCACACUGGGACUGAGACACGGCCCAGACUCCUACGGGAGGCAGCAGUGGGGAAUAUUGGACAAUGGGCGAAAGCCUGAUCCAGCAAUGCCGCGUGAGUGAUGAAGGCCUUAGGGUUGUAAAGCUCUUUUACCCGGGAUGAUAAUGACAGUACCGGGAGAAUAAGCUCCGGCUAACUCCGUG
RNAcentral lists this ribosomal RNA (432 nucleotides) under uncultured bacterium. Its description in RNAcentral is "partial 16S ribosomal RNA". It matches the Rfam family "Bacterial small subunit ribosomal RNA", at positions 29 to 507 of the family's 1533-position model. The record is from RNAcentral.